Molecule: ribosomal RNA, 357 nt
Filed under: uncultured bacterium
Lineage: Bacteria
Description: bacterial SSU rRNA
Rfam family: Bacterial small subunit ribosomal RNA
Source: RNAcentral
AACGAACGCUGGCGGCAGGCUUAACACAUGCAAGUCGAACGCUCGUAGCAAUACGAGAGUGGCAGACGGGUGAGUAACGCGUGGGAAUCUACCCAAAGGUACGGAACAACUCAGGGAAACUUGAGCUAAUACCGUAUGUGCCCGAGAGGGCAAAGAUUUAUCGCCUUUGGAUGAGCCCGCGUUGGAUUAGCUAGUUGGUGGGAACGGCCGUACCAAGGCGACGAUCCAUAGCUGANCUGAGAGGAUGAUCAGCCACACUGGGACUGAGACACGGCCCAGACUCCUACGGGAGGCAGCAGUGGGGAAUCUUGGACAAUGGAGGAAACUCUGAUCCAGCCAUGCCGCGUGAGUGAUGAA